This 418-nucleotide long non-coding RNA is filed under the name Medicago truncatula (barrel medic). RNAcentral's name for it is "long non-coding RNA (MTRU_LNC007415)". The record is from RNAcentral. Lineage: Eukaryota; Viridiplantae; Streptophyta; Magnoliopsida; Fabales; Fabaceae.
UGAAACUUCAGCAUAAUCUGUUCAAUGAGCCUUAAAACGUCCUAGCAAAUAAUAAAGAGUUUAAGAAGGUUGUUAAAGAGAAAGGUAAGAGUAAGGGUCCUAAAAUAUAUAACUUAAUGAAGGAGUGGGUUUAAUCGUAAUUAUAAGUAAUUAACUCAGAAUAAUAACAAGCUUAAAUAGGAACCGAGGAUAGUAACCUAUGAGAAUCUAAUGAUGUCAAGAUGGCUUGAAAAUAGAAAGUGAAAGAUAAAUACGGGAGACGCUAUGAGGAAUAUUAAUCGAGAGGUUAAUACUUAAAUUAGAAUGGAUAACGGGGUAUACUACUAGGAUGAAAGACGUAGUAAUGGAGAGAACGAAUGACGAGAGUAGAUUCUAAAAUGCAGUAACGAGUAACAAAGGAAUAUGAUGUGUACAUAUG